Molecule: ribosomal RNA, 443 nt
Filed under: uncultured bacterium
Lineage: Bacteria
Description: partial 16S ribosomal RNA
Rfam family: Bacterial small subunit ribosomal RNA
Source: RNAcentral
CCUACGGGCGGCAGCAGUGGGGAAUCUUGGGCAAUGGGCGCAAGCCUGACCCAGCAACGCCGCGUGAAGGAAGAAGGCCCUCGGGUUGUAAACUUCUUUUAUCAAGGACGAAACAAAUGACGGUACUUGCUGAAUAAGCCACGGCUACCUACGUGCCAGCAGCCGCGGUAAUACGUAGGUGGAAAGCGUUAUCCGGAUUUACUGGGUGCAAAGGGCGUGUCGGCGGGACUGUAAGUCAGCUGUGAAAAUCAGGGGCUCAACCCGGGGACUGCAUUUGAUACUGGUGGGCUUGAGUGUUGGAGAGGCAGGCGGAAUUCCGGGUGUAGCGGUGAAAGGCGUAGAUAUACGGAGGAACACCAGUGGCGAAGGCGGCCUGCUGGACAAUAACUGACGCUGAGGCGCGAAAGCGUGGGGAGCAAACAGGAUUAGAUACCCUAGUAGUC